AACAAACGCUGGCGGCGUGCCUAAUACAUGCAAGUCGAACGGGGAAAGCUUUCGGGUGAGUACUAGUGGCGCACGGGUGAGGAACGCGUGGGUAAUUUUCCUUGAAGUGGGGGAUAACUAGUCGAAAGAUUAGCUAAUACCGCAUACGACCACGAAAUCUGAGGAUUUUGAGGUAAAAGGUUUUUCGCUUCAAGAUAAGCCCGCGUAAGAUUAGCUAGUUGGUGAGGUAAUGGCUCACCAAGGCGACGAUCCUUAGCUGGUCUGAGAGGAUGAUCAGCCACACUGGAACUGAGACACGGUCCAGACUCCUACGGGAGGCAGCAGUAGGGAAUAUUGCACAAUGGAGGAAACUCUGAUGCAGCGACGCCGCGUGAGUGAUGAAGGACUUCGGUUCGUAAAGCUCUGUCGCAUGGGAAUAAUAAAUGAAGGUACCACGCAAGAAAGGAUCGGCUAACUUCGUGCCAGCAGCCGCAGUAA
Molecule: ribosomal RNA, 477 nt
Filed under: uncultured bacterium
Lineage: Bacteria
Description: partial 16S ribosomal RNA
Rfam family: Bacterial small subunit ribosomal RNA
Source: RNAcentral